CGUCUUUCUCCUAGAUGAUCUUUUCAAGGAUGUUUAUAUAGCAAAUUGCCUUGGCAGUUAGAGAAAGUGUCUCUUUCUGGUGCAAAGGGCACAUUUGCUUACAAUCUAGAAAGAUGCAGGAUAUCCUUUCCAGAGCGAUGAACAGAUAUGCUUACUGCCCAGUAUAAGAGGUCUGGUUCCCUAAAAAUGCAAUUUCUUUCCUGCAGUCAACUGUGUGUCCACAUAUCAGUUGACCCUCUUUGUAUCAUCCUGUGGAAAUUGAGGUUUGGAGAACUAGUGUAAAAAGAACCAUUCUCUGGCUACUGCUAUUGCUUUGAGUAAUAAACUUUGCUUUGUUUUUGACUCAAGGGUUUCAUGUCUCUUGUCAGCAUCCAUGAAACUGUGGCCAAUGAACAGACUGACUUGCUAACAGUAAAGAUCUCAAACUCUUCAUAGUUCUUGACAACAUUCGGUGUGAUGUCACGAUAUUACAGCUUUAUUGAUGUAUUGAAGAAGGGAAUGGCAACCAACUCCAGCUGUGUUAGUUUCAGAUACAUUGAAGGUGAUUCAUUUAUAUAUGUGUGUGUAUAUACAUAUAUAUAUAUAUAUAUGUAUCCAUUCUUUUUUGGUUCUUUUCCCUGAUAGAUUAUUACAAAAAUUUGAAUACUAUAUAUUUAUCUGAGAAACCAAGGUUUUUAAAAAGAACAGGGCAUUUUCAAUAUGCUUUCCCUAAAAAUGCAUUACCACUGAACGUCUCUUUUCUGAAAGCAAAAAUUUUUUGUACAUCAUAGGACAAAGAAAACCAUUUCAAGGAUAUAUAUUUCUUUCCAUUUGAUUCUGUUGAAAUAUCUAUUUGUGCAUGUGCUAAGUCACUUCAGUUAUGUCUGACCCUUUGCGACCCUAUGGACUGUAGCCUGCCAGGCUCUUCUGUCCAUGAGGUUCUCUAGGGAAGAACACAGGAGUGGGUUGUCAUGCCCUCUUCCAGGGGAUCUUCCCACCCCAGGGAUCAAACUGUCCUGUAGCUCCUGCAUUGCAGGCAGGUUCUUUACUGCUAAUUCUCCUGAGAAGCCCAUUUGUGUGUGUGU
Molecule: long non-coding RNA, 1064 nt
Filed under: Bos indicus x Bos taurus (hybrid cattle)
Lineage: Eukaryota; Metazoa; Chordata; Mammalia; Artiodactyla; Bovidae
Description: lncRNA (ENSBIXG00000003840.1)
Source: RNAcentral